This 84-nucleotide microRNA precursor is filed under the name Bombyx mori (domestic silkworm). Its description in RNAcentral is "mir-2807 microRNA precursor family". It matches the Rfam family "mir-2807 microRNA precursor family". The record is from Rfam by way of RNAcentral. Lineage: Eukaryota; Metazoa; Arthropoda; Insecta; Lepidoptera; Bombycidae.
UUAGCUCAUAUUUGUAUGGAAUGGGAUCGUUUGCCUACGUUUGCCGCUAGGGGCGCUGUUCUAACUGCAUACAAAAUUUAUCUA